CGGAUCGGAGUCUGCAACCCGACUCCGUGAAGCUGGAUUCGCUAGUAAUCGCGCAUCAGCCAUGGCGCGGUGAAUACGUUCCCGGGCCUUGUACACACCGCCCGUCAAGCCAUGGGAGCCGGGGGUGCUCGAAGUGCGUCGCCGCAAGGCGCGCCCUAGAGCAAAACUGGUGACUGGGGCUAAGUCGUAACAAGGUAAC
Molecule: ribosomal RNA, 199 nt
Filed under: uncultured bacterium
Lineage: Bacteria
Description: partial 16S ribosomal RNA
Rfam family: Bacterial small subunit ribosomal RNA
Source: RNAcentral